GCUCAGAUUUGAAAUCUGGUCCCUCUGGGGGCCCGAGUUGUAAUCUGUAGGGGAUGCUUCGGAGUUGAACCCGGCCUAAGUUCCUUGGAACAGGACGUCGCAGAGGGUGAGAAUCCCGUACGCGGCCGGUGGGCGUCUCCGUGCGAAGCUCCUCCAACGAGUCGAGUUGUUUGGGAAUGCAGCUCUAAAUGGGAGGUAAAUUUCUUCUAAAGCUAAAUACCGGCCAGAGACCGAUAGCGCACAAGUAGAGUGAUCGAAAGAUGAAAAGCACUUUGGAAAGAGAGUUAAAAAGUACGUGAAAUUGUUGAAAGGGAAGCGCUUGCACCCAGACUCGGCCGCUUCGGUUCAACCCUACCCGCGUAGGGCUCACUCCGUUGCGGUCGGGCCAGCAUCGGUUCGGGCGGUUGUUUAAAGACGUGGGGAAUGUGGCUCCUCUCGGGGAGUGUUAUAGCCCCGCGUGCAAUGCGACCUGCCUGGACCGAGGACCGCGCCUUGGCAAGGAUGCUGGCUUAAUGGUUGUAAGCGGCCCGUCUUGAAACACGGACCAAGGAGUCUAACAUCUAUGCGAGUGUUCGGGUGUCAAACCCCUACGCGCAAUGAAAGUGAACGGAGGUCGGAGCCCUCGGGCGCACGAUCGACCGAUCCUGAUGUCUUCGGAUGGAUUUGAGUAAGAGCAUAAAUGUUGGGACCCGAAAGAUGUGCGAACUAUGCUUGAGUAGGCCGAAGCCAGCGGAAACGCUGGUGGAGGGUCGCAGCGGUUCUGACGUGCAAAUCGAUCGUCAAACUUGAGUAUAGGGGCGAAAGACUAAUCGA
This 813-nucleotide ribosomal RNA is filed under the name Jahnula dianchia. RNAcentral describes it as "partial large subunit ribosomal RNA". It matches the Rfam family "Eukaryotic large subunit ribosomal RNA", at positions 107 to 938 of the family's 3401-position model. The record is from RNAcentral. Lineage: Eukaryota; Fungi; Ascomycota; Dothideomycetes; Jahnulales; Aliquandostipitaceae.